GUAGGGCGCAAGCGUUGUCCGGAAUUAUUGGGCGUAAAGAGCUCGUAGGCGGCUUGUCACGUCGGAUGUGAAAGCCCGGGGCUUAACCCCGGGUCUGCAUUCGAUACGGGCUAGCUAGAGUGUGGUAGGGGAGAUCGGAAUUCCUGGUGUAGCGGUGAAAUGCGCAGAUAUCAGGAGGAACACCGGUGGCGAAGGCGGAUCUCUGGGCCAUUACUGACGCUGAGGAGCGAAAGCGUGGGGAGCGAACAGGAUUAGAUACCCUGGUAGUCCACGCCGUAAACGUUGGGAACUAGGUGUUGGCGACAUUCCACGUCGUCGGUGCCGCAGCUAACGCAUUAAGUUCCCCGCCUGGGGAGUACGGCCGCAAGGCUAAAACUCAAAGGAAUUGACGGGGGCCCGCACAAGCAGCGGAGCAUGUGGCUUAAUUCGACGCAACGCGAAGAACCUUACCAAGGCUUGACAUAUACCGGAAAGCAUCAGAGAUGGUGCCCCCCUUGUGGUCG
RNAcentral lists this ribosomal RNA (503 nucleotides) under Streptomyces flavovirens. Its description in RNAcentral is "bacterial SSU rRNA". It matches the Rfam family "Bacterial small subunit ribosomal RNA", at positions 527 to 1029 of the family's 1533-position model. The record is from RNAcentral. Lineage: Bacteria; Bacillati; Actinomycetota; Actinomycetes; Kitasatosporales; Streptomycetaceae.